This is a long non-coding RNA of Oncorhynchus tshawytscha (Chinook salmon), 981 nucleotides long. The record is from Ensembl. Lineage: Eukaryota; Metazoa; Chordata; Actinopteri; Salmoniformes; Salmonidae.
GGGAGAGGUAAAGAGAGGGAGAGGUAAAGAGAGGGAGAGGGAAAGAGAGAGAGAGGUAAAGAGAGGGAGAGGUAAAGAGAGGGAGAGGUAAAGAGAGAGAGAGGUAAAGAGAGGGAGAGGUAAAGAGAGGGAGAGGUAAAGAGAGGGAGAGGUAAAGAGAGGGAGAGGUAAAGAGAGGGAGAGGUAAAGAGAGCGGGCAAGAAACACAGGUGAACAGUGUCGAGGGAUAGAAAGAUGGAGAGAGAAAAGAAGUGAGAGGGAGAAAGAAAGAAAGAGUUGAGGGAACAACAAAGUCUUGGACUAAUGGGCUGCAGAUGUACUUCUAACGGGGUAUCCAGACAACACAACAUGCAUUAGCAUCAAUUAUAACCGGAAAGAGAGACUUUGAAUCAAAAGCUAGCCGUACCCCAUGAACUGCAGUUACACAAUAACACAUUCCUGAGAAACAACCUUUUCCUCUCUCUCAGCCUGAAAGCUUGGCCUCCCAGAGACACCCCAGGUGUAUAGAGACUUAUAGGGUUCAUCCCAAAUGGCUCCCUCUUCCCUAUAUUAGUGCAUUACGUUUGAGCAGGGCCCGUAUGGCACUAUGUAAGGGAAUAGUGUGCCAUUUGAGGCGUAGCUGUAGUCAUUGGAAUAGGCUGAUAGCACACUCUUAUCUUUAUAAGGUUUUAAUGCAGUUUGGAUGCAGUAGGGUUUGACACUGGCUGGAGGUACAUUCGUAGAGUAAAGAGAGGAACUGUUGUGGGCUCCUCACUGGAGUGUUUGGGCCUCUGGGCCUCCGCCUAUGUGUACCAAACAGGGUGGGGGUCAAUUAUAAUUGAAGUUAGUCAUUUCAGGAAGUCCUUUAUAUUUCACAUGAAUACAUUGAAAAACGUUUUCAAUAAAUUGUUUCUUCUUUUCAGUUUAUUGAGAAGUCAUUGACAAUAGAUGCACUUUUUUUAUUUGUACAAAUUAGAAUUUCAGUUUCCUUUUUGAAUUGAC